GCUCAAUUAAGCCUGCGCCCCUUUGGCUGGCGGAGAAGCCGCUUCAAAGUGACGGAGCGAAAUUCAGCUAAAAGUUACAAAAGCAAACUCCAAAGUCGCCCCACGCCUUCUGGAAGGAUCAUGGGAGAGGUGAAAACGGAAGCGCUGAAGCAGAAAUGGACAAAAAAAUCCCCUCGGCGUCAGGACAGGUGAGUCCGCUCAGGUGAGCAACCCGGACAGGAGGUGGGGAAGAGAUGCUAUCGGGGGAGGACGGGAAAGCAGAAGAAAGGAGGAUGGCCUGUCUACUCACCACACCUCCCAGCUACCCUAAAAACACGAGAAAUAGUGAACCAUAGGAGGUAAAAGCUGGAAACAGAGGGCCGGGACGUUUCAGUCGCAAAGCCACGACAGCAGGCAAAUCUGAAAACCGUCACCGUCACAGAAGAGGACUGCGAAAUCACGGCUGGUCAAAUGCCAGUGCGGGCGGCGGAGACGACAAGAGCACAACCGAAAUGGAAAAAGAAGGAAAACAAAAGCAAAAGAAAGAGGAUAACUGUCUGUGGGAGAGUGAGUGGUGAGAUGGCGUGGUGUGAUUAGUGCGCCUGGGGUUAGGAGAGGUGCAGGAUGAAUGAAUGAAUGGCAUGUUGCCGGGGCUGUCUGAGGAGUUUGGGCAGAGCCUUUCCCCUCCUCCUCCCCCUCCUCCUCGUUUCUGUCACAUCACUUCCCUGCUCUCACCUGCAGCGCUUGUGUUUUUUCCUAUCCGGUCUUCUUUUUAGUGCUAUCUAUCUAUCUAUCUGUCAAGUAGGCCUAUAAAUACACUUUAUUCUGGGGAAGUGAUGCAAAAUGCAGAAAAUAUUUCAGUCAAAGAGAUAAUCUGCUGAAAGAAAACCUGCUCUCGGUUACCUGGAUAACCUUUCUCUCUCUCUUUCUCUCUCUCUGUUCAUUCUCUCCAUCCGUUUACAUUUUAAUCCGAUAUUUGUAUAUAUCAUUUAAAUUUGUAUAUAUAUAUCAUUCUCCUCAUCCCUUAGAGUUUAAUUCAGUGUCUGUGCUUAUGUGCUUUGUUGGUGUGAAUUAAGAGAGUAAAAUUGCGCCAAAGUAUCAGGA
This is a long non-coding RNA of Myripristis murdjan (pinecone soldierfish), 1083 nucleotides long. RefSeq lists it as uncharacterized. Lineage: Eukaryota; Metazoa; Chordata; Actinopteri; Holocentriformes; Holocentridae. The record is from RefSeq and is a predicted model, not a curated record. The transcript is spliced from 4 exons.